GGGCUCCCUUUGACAGCACAUAUACUAACAUUGAAAUAAUACAGAGAAGAUCAGCAUGGCCUCUGCACAAGGAUGAAAUGCAAAUUUGGGAAGAGUUCCAUAUUUUA
RNAcentral lists this small nuclear RNA (107 nucleotides) under Sciurus vulgaris (Eurasian red squirrel). The record is from RNAcentral. Lineage: Eukaryota; Metazoa; Chordata; Mammalia; Rodentia; Sciuridae.